This 30-nucleotide small RNA is filed under the name Bombyx mori (domestic silkworm). RNAcentral's name for it is "ovarian small RNA-2746". The record is from RNAcentral. Lineage: Eukaryota; Metazoa; Arthropoda; Insecta; Lepidoptera; Bombycidae.
GCCAGGAGCGUGGCCGCCUGCAUAGGGCAA